Molecule: ribosomal RNA, 301 nt
Filed under: uncultured bacterium
Lineage: Bacteria
Description: partial 16S ribosomal RNA
Rfam family: Bacterial small subunit ribosomal RNA
Source: RNAcentral
CAGUAGCCGCAGGAAUACAGAGGGUGCGAGCGUUAAUCGGAUUUACUGGGCGUAAAGCGUGCGUAGGCGGCUUUUUAAGUCGGAUGUGAAAUCCCUGAGCUUAACUUAGGAAUUGCAUUCGAUACUGGGAAGCUAGAGUAUGGGAGAGGAUGGUAGAAUUCCAGGUGUAGCGGUGAAAUGCGUAGAGAUCUGGAGGAAUACCGAUGGCGAAGGCAGCCAUCUGGCCUAAUACUGACGCUGAGGUACGAAAGCAUGGGGAGCAAACAGGAUUAGAUACCCGAGUAGUCCCUGUCUCUUAUAC